This 687-nucleotide long non-coding RNA is filed under the name Capsella rubella. RNAcentral's name for it is "long non-coding RNA (CRUB_LNC003544)". Lineage: Eukaryota; Viridiplantae; Streptophyta; Magnoliopsida; Brassicales; Brassicaceae. The record is from RNAcentral.
UUCAUGGCCAAAAUAUAUAAUGGAUUAAGCAUAGUGGUACAUUGUUCAUACUGUUUCAUCAUUAUACUGCAUGAACAGAAAUUGACUUGCUGAUGUGAUCUGAUAAAUUUCCUUGUGAGUAUUGGAAAGCUAUAGUUGAGGCAUCACUGUUUUGUUGUUGAAUAGGAAGUCUGAUGUAUUUCCUGGAAUAUGUCAGAAAAUUGGAAUGCUUAAAACAUAUCAUUUGCAAAUUGAAGAGAGGAAAUAUAUAUAAUAGAGCACAAGAGAUGAAAUUAGACGAAUGUGGCUUAUUGUCUACCAUUUGGCUCUUGUAUUUGUAUAGUUGACAUGCUAAUUUGAGCCGAGUAUCUUGCAUGAGUCUAGCUAAAUCCCAUUUGGGUGAUAUAUCUGCAGCAUUCUACUAUAAGCAUUUCAGCUAUCUUGAACAAUCUUUCUUGUCGCAGCCUUUGCACCAAUGAAUGCAGCACCGGCCUCUGAAGACUCUAGGGACUUGAAUUGGAAUGCACAAAGACGACCCUUUGAUGCUGAGAGAUACACUAGAGAUUGAAUACGUUAACAUCACAUGAGAGCAAGUAGAUUGAAUGGAGCUUUGGCGUAGCUUUCUACUCUAUUUUAUAUCCAUGUGAACAUCAAUUAUUAUUACUUUGCAAAAGUAUGCAUUCAGUUACUAGAUGAUGUAGCGCUGAU